CGUACCGACAGCUCCCCAAGUGGGUGGAGCAC
This 32-nucleotide small RNA is filed under the name Bombyx mori (domestic silkworm). RNAcentral describes it as "ovarian small RNA-14535". Lineage: Eukaryota; Metazoa; Arthropoda; Insecta; Lepidoptera; Bombycidae. The record is from RNAcentral.